Molecule: small RNA, 106 nt
Filed under: Marmota monax (woodchuck)
Lineage: Eukaryota; Metazoa; Chordata; Mammalia; Rodentia; Sciuridae
Source: RNAcentral
GCCAGGCGUGGUGGUGCAUGCCUGUAAUCCCAAAACUUGGGAGACUGAGGCAGGAGGAUCAUAAGUUCGAGGCCAGCCUUGGCAACUUAGUGAGACACUAUCUCAA